Molecule: ribosomal RNA, 253 nt
Filed under: uncultured bacterium
Lineage: Bacteria
Description: partial 16S ribosomal RNA
Rfam family: Bacterial small subunit ribosomal RNA
Source: RNAcentral
UACGUAGGUGGCGAGCGUUAAUCGGAAUAACUGGGCGUAAAGGGCACGCAGGCGGGCUUUUAAGUGAGGUGUGAAAUCCCCGGGCUUAACCUGGGAAUAGCAUUUCAGACUGGGAGUCUAGAGUACUUUAGGGAGGGGUAGAAUUCCACGUGUAGCGGUGAAAUGCGUAGAGAUGUGGAGGAAUACCGAAGGCGAAGGCAGCCCCUUGGGAAUGUACUGACGCUCAUGUGCGAAAGCGUGGGGAGCAAACAGG